Molecule: ribosomal RNA, 468 nt
Filed under: uncultured bacterium
Lineage: Bacteria
Description: partial 16S ribosomal RNA
Rfam family: Bacterial small subunit ribosomal RNA
Source: RNAcentral
GACGAACGCUGGCGGCGUGCUUAACACAUGCAAGUCGAACGGAAAGGCCCUGCCUUUGUGGGGUGCUAGAGUGGCGAACGGGUGAGAAACAUGUGAGUAACCUGCCCUUGACUUUGGGAUAACUUCAGGAAAGUGGGGAUAAUACCGGAUAGGAGCUCCUGCUGCCUGGGGGGGGUGGGAAAGUUUCGGCGGUUGGGGAUGGACUCGCGGCUUAUCAGCUUGUUGGUGGGGUAGUGGCUUACCAAGGCUUUGACGGGUAGCCGGCCUGAGAGGGUGACCGGCCACAUUGGGACUGAGAUACGGCCCAGACUCCUACGGGAGGCAGCAGUGGGGAAUAUUGCGCAAUGGGCGGAAGCCUGAUGCAGCGACGCCGCGUGCGGGAUGACGGCCUUCGGGUUGUAAACCGCUUUCGCCUGGGACGAAGCGAAAGUGACGGUAAUGGGUGAAGAAGCACCGGCUAACUACGUG